Molecule: small nuclear RNA, 111 nt
Filed under: Propithecus coquereli (Coquerel's sifaka)
Lineage: Eukaryota; Metazoa; Chordata; Mammalia; Primates; Indriidae
Source: RNAcentral
AUGCCUGAAGGUAGCACAGCAUAUACACUAAAAUUGGAAUGAUACCGAGAAGAUUAGCAUAGACCCCUGCUCAAGGAUGACAUGCAAAUUCAUGAAGUGUUUCAUGUUUUA